RNAcentral lists this ribosomal RNA (627 nucleotides) under Bullera alba. RNAcentral's name for it is "eukaryotic LSU rRNA". It matches the Rfam family "Eukaryotic large subunit ribosomal RNA", at positions 47 to 663 of the family's 3401-position model. The record is from RNAcentral. Lineage: Eukaryota; Fungi; Basidiomycota; Tremellomycetes; Tremellales; Bulleraceae.
UAAGCGGAGGAAAAGAAACUAACAAGGAUUCCCCUAGUAACGGCGAGCGAACAGGGAAGAGCUCAAAUUUGAAAUCUGGCGUCCUCCGGGCGUCCGAGUUGUAAUCUAUAGAGACGUUUUCCGUGCCGGACCGUGUCCAAGUUCCUUGGAACAGGAUAUCAAAGAGGGUGACAAUCCCGUACUUGACACGACGACCGGUGCUCUGUGAUACGUUUUCUACGAGUCGAGUUGUUUGGGAAUGCAGCUCAAAAUGGGUGGUGAGUUCCAUCUAAAGCUAAAUAUUGGCGAGAGACCGAUAGCGAACAAGUACCGUGAGGGAAAGAUGAAAAGCACUUUGGAAAGAGAGUUAAACAGUACGUGAAAUUGUUAAAAGGGAAACGAUUGAAGUCAGUCGUGUCUGGGAGGCUCAGCCGGUUCUGCCGGUGUAUUCCUCUCAGACGGGUCAACAUCAGUUUUGUCCGACGGAUAAUGGCGGCGGGAAAGUAGCACCUCCGGGUGUGUUAUAGCCCGCUGUCGCAUACGCCGGAUGAGACUGAGGCAUGCAGCUCGCCUUUAUGGCAGGGGUUCGCCCACUUUCGAGCUUAGGAUGUUGACGUAAUGGCUUUAAACGACCCGUCUUGAAACACG